GUGUAGACCAACUCGCUAAGCAACGACCUGCAAACGGGCAUCCGAGCAAAAAAAACAGGAACCACAUUAUUAUCGAGUGUCUUUGCAAUGUUCCCGACGAUAUUUCUGCACCGUCUUAACUGAUUUCAUCGAAGUCACCGUCUCUCCAGACAUCGGCUACAGAAAACAAACAAGAAAUUAAUGCAUCUUGCUGCGCGGUGCUGUUUGUUUUGACCUGUGCAGAUAUUAGGGAAUCCUGCAAGGGGGAUUAGCGGUCCGUCAAUGAGGAACUACCGGCUCAUCUUCUGCCACAACCUGAAGCAGCCAUAGAGGGUUUGGUGGUUCACUGGCUAGAGGGGGAGAGCAUAGGAUACACUUUCACUGCUGCACGACGUGAGGUCUUGGCGGGGUUGUGGUGAGGAGGAGGCCAUGAGGAAGAGCGUGUCUCCGUUGCCAAGGCAACGAGGCGGGAGCUCAGCAAGGCACUUCGCGUGUUUUUGGGCGUUCCUCUGGAGGAUGUGAGCGGCGCACACACACUCCGCGGCCAAAAUGAGGUUGCCUGCGCCUGGGUGAAACACAUCGUCGACUUACAUUGAAGAGCAGGUCACCUGGACCUGGAGGGGCUCUUCCUUGUGAAUGGCAACGCAGAGCGCGUGGAUUGGCUGCGGCAGCGCUACGACAGCGGGGAGGAGGUGGCGCUGCAGAAGGAGGCGGACCUGGCGUCUGCGGUCAGUUUGCUGCGGCUCUUCCUGCAGGAGCUUCCUGAGCCCGUUAUCCCAACAGCGAUACAGGGACACAUCCUGCAGCUCCACC
Notothenia coriiceps (black rockcod) is the source of this 792-nucleotide long non-coding RNA. RefSeq lists it as uncharacterized. NCBI's taxonomy places the organism in Eukaryota, Metazoa, Chordata, Actinopteri, Perciformes, Nototheniidae. The transcript is spliced from 4 exons. The record is from RefSeq and is a predicted model, not a curated record.